GCUCCCGUGGCACAGCUGGAUAGAGCAGCCCCCUCCUAAGGGGCAGGUCACAGGUUCAAAUCCUGUCGGGAGCGCCA
RNAcentral lists this transfer RNA (77 nucleotides) under Vibrio mimicus. Its description in RNAcentral is "tRNA-Arg". It matches the Rfam family "tRNA". From Rfam's summary of the family: Transfer RNA (tRNA) molecules are approximately 80 nucleotides in length. Their secondary structure includes four short double-helical elements and three loops (D, anti-codon, and T loops). Further hydrogen bonds mediate the characteristic L-shaped molecular structure. tRNAs have two regions of fundamental functional importance: the anti-codon, which is responsible for specific mRNA codon recognition, and the 3' end, to which the tRNAs corresponding amino acid is attached (by aminoacyl-tRNA synthetases). tRNAs cope with the degeneracy of the genetic code in two manners: having more than one tRNA (with a specific anti-codon) for a particular amino acid; and 'wobble' base-pairing, i.e. permitting non-standard base-pairing at the 3rd anti-codon position. Lineage: Bacteria; Pseudomonadati; Pseudomonadota; Gammaproteobacteria; Vibrionales; Vibrionaceae. The record is from RNAcentral.